GAGUAACUGAAACUAUGGAAAGUGAAACCGCAGAUAAGACAGGGCUACUAUGUCUCCAUUUCUUUGGGAUCAGCUACUCAAGCUGCCAUGCUGUUGGUAGCAUUUUAAAAAGACAAGCAUGGCGAAGAAAGGAUAUCUCUGCCAAGCAGCCAGGAACAUCCUGAGGCCUGUCAGCAGCCCUUUCCGUGAAACUGGAAAUGGAUCUUCCCCUUGUGAUGACUACAGUCCCAACUGAGAGCUUGACUGCAACCUCAUGAGCAGCCCUGAGCCAGAGACACUGAGCUAAUUUCUGCCUGAAUUCCUGAUUCAUGGAAAUUAUGGGCUAAUAAAUAUAUCUCAUUUUAAGCUACUAACUUCUGAGGUGAUUUGUUAUACAGAAUAUAUAUAUAUAUAUAUAUAUAUAUAUAUAUAUAGAGAGAGAGAGAGAGAGAGAGAGAGAUCAAAUCCAAGAUCAUUUUUCCCCCAAAUUUCACAUUUUCUCAGUAUUUAUUCAGUGGAUUAUGCCCCUGGUGUUCUAUCUACAGAUUCAUUGCUAAAUCCAAGAGAUAAUAUAUAUAUACACACACACACACACACACAUAUAUAUAUAUACACACACAUAUAUAUAUAUAGAGAGAGAGUAACAGAUAUUCUGGCAUUCUUCAGAAACUGUAUGAAAAACUAGAGAGAGGCAGAGAGUGAGAGUAAGCAAAAGAGAGAGAGAGAGAGAGGAGAGAGGAAAUCAAGAGAGAAAAGUAAGCUAAAUAGGUACUUCUCAUCUACGAACUAAAUUUUCAAAAAAUGUCCUGAAGGAGUAGAAUCAGAUAACACUUGUAAUACUCUAAAAAAGGUGCCGUGUUUUUUGGAGACAACCAAUAGACCUUUUUAUUUCAAAUUUUCUUACUACAGGUUCGUAGAAGCCAAUGAAAAAUACAGAAACAUAGUAAUUGUGUAAUUCACAAUAUCUGUAAUAUUUUUUACAAGUUACUUACAGUGAGAGAUAAAUCAAUUUUUUUCCAUGCAGAGUCUUUGAAGCCAUUUAUCAUUUGCCUUUAGUUUCUCCAUCAUACAAUCACCACAGUUUGGAAUAAAAUUAUAAACAACUGAAUAUAUUUGUUAAAUAAAACGACAACUACAAACAUUCCUAAGAUUUAUUAUUUCCUAAUUCAUUUUUCUUCUUUUUAAAAAGUGG
This 1171-nucleotide long non-coding RNA is filed under the name Homo sapiens (human). Its description in RNAcentral is "HSALNT0019029". The record is from RNAcentral. Lineage: Eukaryota; Metazoa; Chordata; Mammalia; Primates; Hominidae.